Long non-coding RNA from Melitaea cinxia (Glanville fritillary), 273 nucleotides. RefSeq lists it as uncharacterized. The record is from RefSeq and is a predicted model, not a curated record. Lineage: Eukaryota; Metazoa; Arthropoda; Insecta; Lepidoptera; Nymphalidae. The transcript has 2 exons.
UAAUUUAAUUCUAGCAUUUAGUUAGGUUUAGUGUUAUCGUAAUCUGAAGCCUUCCAUGUGUUAAAAAAUUCAAUGUUUGCUUAAUACUGGGGGUAAUGCUUCAAUAAUUAUAAUGAAGUUGAUGUCUCAGGAAUUAGAGUUCCUCGGAAUAAGUUCUCGAGUCUUCUAACGUCGAGACAAAUGAACAAUCUUCAGUAUAUCUUUAACAUUUUACCUAAGCACUUUAUGGGCUAAGUUUCCUUACAUAUAAAUAAAUGAAAACACAAAUUCCAA